Non-coding RNA from Podarcis muralis (Common wall lizard), 337 nucleotides. NCBI's taxonomy places the organism in Eukaryota, Metazoa, Chordata, Lepidosauria, Squamata, Lacertidae. The record is from RefSeq and is a predicted model, not a curated record.
GUGGCCCUGGCCGAAGGUUUCCUCCUGAGUCAGGCAGAGGAGAGAAAGCAGGGAACGGAUCUCUUUGCAGAAAUGGACCUGGGUUCCUGUGAGACAGAGAGGCCUCCAUUGGACACCAGAGAGCGGCCACUGGGUGACAGAAGGAUGCCAGGCAAAACCUCCUGAUCCGCCUUUUCAUGGGGGCAGAAGGGAAGCAGCGGCUGUGGAACCAGAUCAGGGUCCAGUCUGCUUGGAAGAUGUCACCAUUCGUUUCACGGACGAGGAGUGGGCGUUCCUGGAUCCUGACCAGAGAGCUCUGCAUAAGGACGUCAUGGAGGAGACUCGUGGGAUCGUGGCC